RNAcentral lists this ribosomal RNA (590 nucleotides) under uncultured bacterium. RNAcentral describes it as "bacterial SSU rRNA". It matches the Rfam family "Bacterial small subunit ribosomal RNA", at positions 334 to 917 of the family's 1533-position model. The record is from RNAcentral.
UACUCCUACGGGAGGCAGCAGUGGGGAAUUUUGGACAAUGGGCGAAAGCCUGAUCCAGCAAUGCCGCGUGUGUGAAGAAGGCCUUCGGGUUGUAAAGCACUUUUGUCCGGAAAGAAAUCCUUGGCUCUAAUACAGUCGGGGGAUAACGGUACCGGAAGAAUAAGCACCGGCUAACUACGUGCCAGCAGCCGCGGUAAUACGUAGGGUGCAAGCGUUAAUCGGAAUUACUGGGCGUAAAGCGUGCGCAGGCGGUUUGCUAAGACCGAUGUGAAAUCCCCGGGCUCAACCUGGGAACUGCAUUGGUGACUGGCAGGCUAGAGUAUGGCAGAGGGGGGUAGAAUUCCACGUGUAGCAGUGAAAUGCGUAGAGAUGUGGAGGAAUACCGAUGGCGAAGGCAGCCCCCUGGGCCAAUACUGACGCUCAUGCACGAAAGCGUGGGGAGCAAACAGGAUUAGAUACCCUGGUAGUCCACGCCCUAAACGAUGUCAACUAGUUGUUGGGGAUUCAUUUCCUUAGUAACGUAGCUAACGCGUGAAGUUGACCGCCUGGGGAGUACGGUCGCAAGAUUAAAACUCAAAGGAAUUGACGGA